GGCCCAUUCAUCCCGGCGCGCGAGGAGCCCCGUUACCGUGGGCACCUGGAGAGAGGAGCCACAGGUGGAAGAGAAGCUGCUGCUCCAGCCCCACAGGUGAGCUGCUCGCCAUCCUGAUCCCAGCACCGCUUCCAGCCGCAGCUGGAGCCCUUGGGAUGUGCAGAGAUGUCCCUGAGCCCCUCGGGCAGGUGACACAGGGCUGCUGCAGCCCCCGUGUGCAGCCUGGUCAUGGAAUACCCUGCACUGGAAGAGACCCACGAGGAUCAUCGAGGCCACGGCUGACGUGACACACACCGUGUCUGAUGCCCUGGGUCAGGAACGAGCAGAUCUGGAGCACGGAAAGCUCCUGGGAGCUGUGGAAUUGGGGCAGGAAUGUGGUUUCCUCGGUCCAGCUCUCGUCGUUUCUCUGGGUAACUCUGUCAGUGUCAAAGCAAAGGCAUCAACACACCCAGGUGAGACCAAAGUCACCCUUUUGGGACAAAUCCAGCCAGGGCUGCAGUCGCCAUUCCCUGUCCCAGGAGCUGCACUGCUCCCACGAGCCUUUCAUCCUGCUGGGACUCGAAUUCCUCUGGAGCAGCAAAGGCUCACAGGGUUAUUCUCGCAACAUCCGACCUGCCUGGCUUCGUGUGAGGAGCCAAAACCCCAUGAAUCCUGGUGUUUGUCCCUCGAGUUUGCAGCAGGGAUGGUGCUGGGCUGGCAGCUCCUCCCGCUGCGUCCCAGGGUGGCUGGAAAACUGCUCCGUGCAUCAAGGUCACUUUAUCUGCCCUCAUCACGGGCCAGAAACGCUCAUGUUAAUGGGUCUCUAAUUUAAUCAAAGUGCAGGGCUGGGAUCUUUUUUCCUUCUUGAAGGGCAAAAAUCAAUUUGCAAUGACAGCGGAUGCACCUCCUCGCCCCUCCAGGCUCCUGGCAGACCACUCAGAAUUAGCCCCACACAAAAUUAGGUGGAAUUAAAAAAACCCACCAGACUUAUUCAGUAAUUCAGACCCAGAAUUUAAAAUUGAAAUGCCCGUCUCAAACCAGCAAUCAGUUUUCUCAUUUGCAUAAAAUACUGUACUACUUUCUCCUUCUAUUCGCAGUUUCAUCCCGUUUUUAACUCUUGCUCUUUGCAUAUUUACAGAACCAUGGAAUAUUCUGAGUUGGAGGGGACUCACAAGGAAGUCCAACUCCUGUUACGGGUGUUUUCUUCUUUGCUGCAGAACAUAUCAGAUACAAUUAAUUAUAUAUAUAAAACUGUAAAUUAUCAUUAUUCAGUGUUGUUAAUUUGCUCUCAGGACUGAAAAGUGAGUAAAUUUUUUCACAGUAAGAAAUAAUAAUAAUAAUAAUAAUAAUAAUAAUAAUAAUAAUAAUAUUGUCUUGAUCUGUCACCAAUAUUGGGCUUUUUUAGGUGCUUUUGAGCACUUUGGUGGCACCGUCCCACCCCUGCAGGCCUGUGUGCUCAGAAAAAACACCGACGGGGUUUCAUAAUUACUGUAUGUGUUGUUUAUAAACAGCCCUUUUCCUGCAAAUCCCGGAGGUGUAACAGCAAAUCAGAGAGGAAAAGG
Neopelma chrysocephalum (saffron-crested tyrant-manakin) is the source of this 1541-nucleotide long non-coding RNA. RefSeq lists it as uncharacterized. The transcript has 3 exons. Lineage: Eukaryota; Metazoa; Chordata; Aves; Passeriformes; Pipridae. The record is from RefSeq and is a predicted model, not a curated record.